This 410-nucleotide ribosomal RNA is filed under the name uncultured microorganism. RNAcentral's name for it is "bacterial SSU rRNA". It matches the Rfam family "Bacterial small subunit ribosomal RNA", at positions 9 to 417 of the family's 1533-position model. The record is from RNAcentral.
GAGUUUGAUCGUGGCUCAGAUUGAACGCUGGCGGCAUGCCUUACACAUGCAAGUCGAACGGCAGCAUGAUCUAGCUCGCUAGAUUGAUGGCGAGUGGCGAACGGGUGAGUAAUACAUCGGAACGUGCCCUGUAGUGGGGAUAACUAGUCGAAAGAUUAGCUAAUACCGCAUACGACCUGAGGGUGAAAGUGGGGGACCGCAAGGCCUCAUGCUAUAGGAGCGGCCGAUGUCUGAUUAGCUAGUUGGUGGGGUAAAGGCCCACCAAGGCGACGAUCAGUAGCUGGUCUGAGAGGACGAUCAGCCACACUGGGACUGAGACACGGCCCAGACUCCUACGGGGGCAGCAGUGGGGAAUUUUGGACAAUGGGCGAAAGCCUGAUCCAGCAAUGCCGCGUGUGUGAAGAAGGCCU